GUGUACCGGAAGGUGCACCUGGAAAGUCAGGAUAGAGCUUGAUUAGUUAAGCAUUUCAUUUACACUGAAAAUACACUGUGCAAUUCAGUUUAUUCUGAUAAAUUUUAACUUACUUUAGUUGUUAGUUGUUAAAAGUUUUUUUAAUUAAAUUAUUUUUAAUAGGUUAUGUUUGUGUAUAGAAUAUAGAUAAAAUUAUUUAAGUGGUAGGUUAAUUGUAUCGUGAGAGGUUGAUUGAAAUAGUUUGAAAAUAUAUUUUUAUAAAAGUAGAUUAAUGAUUGUACCUUGUGUAUCAGGGUUUAUUAAAAAAAUUGCAAAUAUUUGUAUUUUCCCGAUUUGAAGAGAGCUAAAUAAAUGUGUUAGUUAAUGUGGAAUAAUUAUUAAUAACAUUUAUUUAGUAAUGAAACGUUAUCCGUUCUUUAAGAUAUCUGGUUUUCCGAGAAAUGAAUUUAAUUCAGGUUUAAAAAAGUGUAAUUUAAUUUAUUAAAUAAAUCAUUUUUUUAAGCUAAUGCCCUGGGGGAUAAGCUUUAGGGUAGGUUUUAUAAUUAGUGAAAUUUUAAAAGAUUUAGUAGGCUUAGAAUUAGCCAUCUAUUAAAGGAUGUUAUAAUUUAAUUUUUUGUAAGUUUAAUUUUCUAAGAAUUUAAGUUUUAUAUCGGAGCAAUGUAACUAAUUUUUAGUUACUUGAGAUAAUGAUAAAAUUAGUAUAAAAAUUGUUUAAAUUAUUAAAAAAAAUGUGAGGUUACAUUAAGGAAUUAGGCAAAUUAGUACUCGCCUGUUUAACAAAAACAUGUCUUCUUGAUUAUAAUUUGAAGUCUGACCUGCCCACUGAAUUUUAUAUUUGAAGGGCCGCGGUAUUUUGACCGUGCAAAGGUAGCAUAAUCAUUAGUCUUUUAAUUGAAGGCUAGAAUGAAUGGUUGGACGAGGUACUGACUGUCUCGGUGUGAUUGAUAUUAGAAUUUAACUUUUAAGUUAAAAGGCUUAAAUAUAUUAAA
Molecule: ribosomal RNA, 989 nt
Filed under: Protonemura lateralis
Lineage: Eukaryota; Metazoa; Arthropoda; Insecta; Plecoptera; Nemouridae
Description: partial large subunit ribosomal RNA
Source: RNAcentral